GACGAACGCUGGCGGCGUGCUUAACACAUGCAAGUCGAACGAAGUGGCGAACGGGUGAGUAACGCGUAAUCAACCUGCCGUUCAGAGGGGGACAACAGUUGGAAACGACUGCUAAUACCGCAUACUGAAGGACGGGAUUGCGUCUGAUUAGCUAGUUGGAGGGGUAACGGCCCACCAAGGCGAUGAUCAGUAGCCGGUCUGAGAGGAGGAACGGCCACAUUGGGAGUGAGACACGGCCCAGACGCCUACGGGAGGCAGCAGUGGGGAGUCGUCCGCAAUGGACGAAAGUCUGACGGAGCAACGCGGCGUGAGUGAGGACGGCCCUCGGGGUGUAAAGCUCUGUUAAUCGGGACGCGGUACCGGAAUAGAAAGCCACGGCUAACUACGUGCCAGCAGCCGCGGUAAUAC
RNAcentral lists this ribosomal RNA (408 nucleotides) under uncultured bacterium. RNAcentral's name for it is "partial 16S ribosomal RNA". It matches the Rfam family "Bacterial small subunit ribosomal RNA", at positions 28 to 526 of the family's 1533-position model. The record is from RNAcentral.